AGGUCUUGUUGAGGGAAAUUUCUUAGCAUUCCCUUAUAUCUCUCCCACGCUUCAUACAAAGAUUCUCUAUCGUUUUGUUGAAAAUUAGCAAUGUUCUUCUUCAACCU
Molecule: small nucleolar RNA, 107 nt
Organism: Lactuca sativa (garden lettuce)
Lineage: Eukaryota; Viridiplantae; Streptophyta; Magnoliopsida; Asterales; Asteraceae
Source: RefSeq, a predicted model, not a curated record